AUUGAACGCUGGCGGCAUGCUUUACACAUGCAAGUCGAACGGUAACAGGCCUUCGGGUGCUGACGAGUGGCGAACGGGUGAGUAAUGCAUCGGAACGUACCCAGAGGUGGGGGAUAACGCAGCGAAAGCUGUGCUAAUACCGCAUGUGAUCUGAGGAUGAAAGCGGGGGACCGAGCAGCAAUGUUUGGCCUCGCGCCUUUGGAGCGGCCGAUGUCGGAUUAGCUAGUUGGUGGGGUAAAGGCCUACCAAGGCGACGAUCCGUAGCUGGUCUGAGAGGACGACCAGCCACACUGGGACUGAGACGCGGCCCUGACUCCUACGGGAGGCAGCGGUGGGGAAUUUUGGACAAUGGGCGCAAGCCUGAUCCAGCAAUGCCGCGUGCGGGAAGAAGGCCUUCGGGUUGUAAACCGCUUUUGGCAGGAACGAAACGGUGUCCGCUAAUACCGGGCGCUAAUGACGGUACCUGCAGAAUAAGCACCGGCUAACUACGUG
This 492-nucleotide ribosomal RNA is filed under the name uncultured bacterium. RNAcentral describes it as "partial 16S ribosomal RNA". It matches the Rfam family "Bacterial small subunit ribosomal RNA", at positions 29 to 507 of the family's 1533-position model. The record is from RNAcentral.